UACGAAGGGUGCUAGCGUUGUUCGGAAUUACUGGGCGUAAAACGUGCGUAGACGGUUACGUAAGUCGGGUGUGAAAGCCCCGGGCUCAACCUGGGAAUUGCAUUCGAGACUGCAUAGCUAGGGUGCGGAAGAGGGAAGCGGAAUUUCCGGUGUAGCGGUGAAAUGCGUAGAUAUCGGAAGGAACACCAGUGGCGAAAGCGGCUUCCUGGUCCAGCACCGACGUUCAGGCACGAAAGCGUGGGGAGCAAACAGG
This 253-nucleotide ribosomal RNA is filed under the name uncultured bacterium. Its description in RNAcentral is "partial 16S ribosomal RNA". It matches the Rfam family "Bacterial small subunit ribosomal RNA", at positions 524 to 776 of the family's 1533-position model. The record is from RNAcentral.